This 329-nucleotide unclassified non-coding RNA is filed under the name soil metagenome. RNAcentral's name for it is "partial contains 5.8S ribosomal RNA, internal transcribed spacer 2, and large subunit ribosomal RNA". The stretch from base 1 to 120 matches the Rfam family "5.8S ribosomal RNA", at positions 35 to 154 of the family's 154-position model. The record is from RNAcentral.
GAUGAAGAACGCAGCGAAAUGCGAUAAGUAAUGUGAAUUGCAGAAUUCAGUGAAUCAUCGAAUCUUUGAACGCACAUUGCGCCCCCUGGUAUUCCGGGGGGCAUGCCUGUCCGAGCGUCAUUACAACCCUCAAGCUCAGCUUGGUAUUGGGCCCCGCCGACCCGGCGGGCCCUAAAGUCAGUGGCGGUGCCGUCCGGCUCCGAGCGUAGUAAUUCUUCUCGCUCUGGAGGUCCGGUCGUGUGCUCGCCAGCAACCCCCAAUUUUUUUCAGGUUGCCCUCGGAUCAGGUAGGGAUACCCGCUGAACUUAAGCAUAUCAAUAAGCGGAGGA